This 488-nucleotide ribosomal RNA is filed under the name Inocybe sp. DL-2015. Its description in RNAcentral is "eukaryotic LSU rRNA". The stretch from base 91 to 244 matches the Rfam family "5.8S ribosomal RNA". The record is from RNAcentral. Lineage: Eukaryota; Fungi; Basidiomycota; Agaricomycetes; Agaricales; Inocybaceae.
AGAGUCGGCUUUCCCUUUGAAAGGUCUAUGUCAUUUUUUUCACAAGCAAUAUGUUUAGAAUGUUGAAAUACAUAAAAAGUUAUAAAAAACAACUUUCAGCAACGGAUCUCUUGGCUCUCGCAUCGAUGAAGAACGCAGCGAAAUGCGAUAAGUAAUGUGAAUUGCAGAAUUCAGUGAAUCAUCGAAUCUUUGAACGCAUCUUGCGCUCCUUGGUAUUCCGAGGAGCAUGCCUGUUUGAGUGUCAUUUUGAACUCUCAAAGCCCACAUCUUGAUGUGGCUUUGGACUUGGGGGCUUUUGCAGGCUUUUAAAUAAAAGGCCUGCUCCCCUGAAAUUCAUUAUUGGUACGUGGAGUGGAAACCGCGAGGUGUUGAUAACAUUCAUCUAUGCGUUUGGUAUGCCGCGCAAAUGGGCUGCUUUGAAAACGCACAUGCUCUUGACAAACUUGACCUCAAAUCACGUAUGACUACCCGCUGAAGGUAAGCAUAUC